Molecule: long non-coding RNA, 1132 nt
Organism: Triticum urartu
Lineage: Eukaryota; Viridiplantae; Streptophyta; Magnoliopsida; Poales; Poaceae
Source: RefSeq, a predicted model, not a curated record
UUAAUACAUGGCCUCAAAAUCUGGAAGACGAAAGUCAUUCAUUGAUACAAGUUUGUUUGCUGUGUUCCCUCCCUGUCAUUUAAACCCGCCAUUCGCUAAGUAAUUAUGGAUAAAAUUGUUGAUCUUCUCUUGUACGGUUUGGUUCAAGCACUUGUGUUUAUGGAGAAAAUUUACACUAGCUUGCACCCGUGGUCAAACAUUUAGGACAAAAAUGCACCUGCUGCAUGGCCUAUUCCUUCAAUUUGUGCAGUAAGAUAAUGUGAUGAAUCAUUCAUUCAUAUAUUCAUAUAUGUGUUCAGAUGCUUCUUUCCAAACAUAUAAAAUGUCUUCAGAUGCAUGUCUUCAGUUCAUGUUUUUCAUUUUUUCUUGGGACAGAAAAGUAGUAUGUAAUGCACGUAUCUCCAGAUGAGAUAGGAGAUAGAUAUAUUUAUGUGUCAGAUACUACUGUCUGACUAUUUGUGGUAAUAAGUAUUGGUGUUAAGUAGAAUCUCCAUUUUUGUUCCCAUCAUAGGACCAUUAAACAGUCCGAUGCGAGCCAUAUAUUUGAUAUUAAGCAAGUUGUCUGUGGAUGUUCAAUACCCACCUAAUUUGAGCUCCCCGUUUCCUUAUGCAGGUACCAAAACAACAAGGUUCUUUCCUGAUGUCCUGCUUAUUGGAGGGGGGGGAUGAUGUAGCAUCCAUCACUAGUAGGCCAAGGGUGGUUGAUACAUGUCUUCACAUUUUUCAGAGCAACAUGCAGUGGAAGAAGCAGCCUAUGAACUGAAAUAGUUUGCAUAAGAAAUAGGCGAUGUACUCAGCCACCUACUACACAUGGAUGUGAUGACUUCGGAGUGUUCUGCAGCAUUUGGCUGUUUGCAGUAUUUUGGACCAGCCAACUUGUGGUCAUGAAUCUUAUGUCUGUUUUGGACCAUUUGGUGCUUCAAGUGUUUUGGAGCAUAUAUCUUGUGCUCAUGGGUGUGAUAUAAGUGUUUUGGUUCAUUUAAUGUUAGAACUCUUUUAGAACAGCAAAUAGUGGUCCCUUUAUGUGGCUUGUGUUUUCUCGAUGGUGGUCAAAAUGGCCAAACUUUGCUAUGUAAGGACUGUCUUGUUUUUGAACUUCUGAUCAAUAUAUAUAUGUAUGUUUGUGAACAUA